ACUGCCAUUCAGUGCCACGGUGGGGCAUGGUACCACACCCCUCUUUGUGGUCACUUCAGUGUGUACUCUAGUGUGUACACCGUUAGGUCUCAAACCCUGGGCAAACAGCUAACUAAGGUGCUUAUUACCAUUUAAAGCCGACGCUGGCUGCCAGGUUCUCCCAGCAUCUUCUCAGUCCCUACCUGUUACAGGGUCCUCCUGGUUGGUAUACCCUGUCCUUUACCCCAACCCAAACUUGUCCAGCCCUGGGACUAGGCUGAGCUUCCCUCUCCCCAGCUUCUCUGGCUCAUAUAUAACUCAUUCAUUUUGACUAUGCCAGACACUUGGCAAGUCUGUUGGAUCAGGUUGACUGCCCGUCUCUCUCCCCCUCUCUACUUACAUGGCCCUGCUCAGCCUGACUACAUUCACUCUGGACUCUCUCUGAUGUCUCUGUCUCUGCCUGUUUUCCCCUUAUAUCUAUAAUGAAAGCUUCAACCCCUGAGAAGCCAUCAUGGCCUCUUUUUUUUUCUCUCUCUCUCUUACUUUUUAUUUUAAAUUUAAACACUACUUCCUAUUUUUCUCAGUGGAGCUGGAGUCUGGUGAUCAUCGCCCUAUGGGAUAUUGUGCCUUCUCAGCACACAGGGCCUAUUGAGGGCCUAUAUAAGGACAUUUGUCUAAAGCAGCUGGAGACCACACAUCUAUUUCUUGAGAGAGAGAGAGAGAGAGAGAGAGAGAGAGAGAGAGAGAGAGAGAGAGAGAGAGACCCUGGUACACAUCCCUGCUUCAGCUCAUGGGGCCAUCCACAAGAAAGUCUAGUGGUAGUAUAAGCCUCUUCCCUAACACCAAAGUGCUUUGAAUCCAAAGAAUAUCUGGCUUCCAGGUCCGGAAAUCUAGCAUUUAAAGCACAGGCUGCUGUAGCCAAGUCCCAUCCCAGGAAGCGUCAACAUUCUCCUGGUCUGGGCCCUCCUGCCAGGCUGAGUCAUUUCACCUGAAUCACUGCACACGGUUUCCUUCAAAACUCAACUUCUUAGAAGUUUGACUCUCUAUUCUCCUCCUCCGAAUAUCCCUCUCAACACUUUUUAAAAUUUUGUUUUUAUUUAUGAGCAUUGAUUGGUAUUUUGUCUGAAUGCAUGUGUAAGGAUGUCAGAUCCCCUGAAACAGGAGUUACAAACAGUUGAGCUGCUAUGUGGGUGCUGGGAAUCGAACCCAGGUCUCUGGAAGAGCAGUCAACAUUCUUUUUUUUUUUUUUAAUUGUGAAAAAUCUUUAUUACUGUCUCUUGUGGUAAAAUAAUAUCUUAUACAAAUAGAAUCACCUGAUUUGUUUUGGACUGAAGAUUUUAAGGACAGAGAUGUUUCCUAUUUCUGUGAAAAAUAGAUUUACAGGGAAAAUGGACUUUCACAACUUAAAUGACAGUAUCGUAAAGGCCGUGAUCCCUCACGAACAAGAGGGUGCCCACCUCGUCCAGACUCCCUGUGGCUAUGGUGCUCUGGACAAGGAAUGUGGAUGUUUUCAGAAUCUGAGUCUAUGGCCCACUCCAGACAUGGCAAAGUGCUGUCCCUAGGAAAUCAGAUGCCCGGGGCCAGGAGAAGCUUCAGGAGGCUCAUAUGAGCCAGCGUUGGGCUAACCUGAGACAAGAGCUUAUGUCAGCCCAAGUACUGGCCAUCUUUAUUCCUGUAUUUACGGUUCAGAAGGGCAGCUCAGCCCCAAUACAUGGGGCAAGGAUGGAGAUGGAGCAGAACUUUGCCUCAUACCAGGAAGGGUUCAGCCCAGGGCGGGGACGAGGUCCCCAGGGGCUGCCAUCCUCUCAGAUUACUGUUCUGGGCAUGGGGCAUGCAUGCCCGACCCCCAAGCACUGAUUCCCUCUUCCGCUGCAUCACAGGAAGCCACUGUAGCCACUGGUGUUCCUGGACAGUUUGACUUCUGACUCGGCUUCUGCUUGUUCAGUUAUUUACAAAGUAUGACUUCCAGUUUACUCAAGUCAGGCACAAAAGUUGGAAUUUCAAACUCUAGCAAACAGCAAGCUGCUUCCCUAAGCAGUCAGACACGGACCGCUGGCCCUUCAGAAGCUAAAGACUGCUCCAUCCUACCAGGAUGACUGAGCACCCGGCCUCAGUGUGCUCUGAGAACAGGCUGAAGAGAAAGGGGAUGCAGCCCUUCUCCAGCCAGUAGUGUGGCCAGCUCCUCCAUGAGGGCUCUCCAAGCAAAGCCAGCAUGACAGGCAGGAGACAGCGUGCCAGAAAACAGGAGCGUCCUAUGCUGCACGCUACAAAGCUAAGGCCACGCAGCUCGCAGAAGCACACGCUAGGCAGUAUUUACUGAUACACUGGGUACCAAACACCUCCCGGACUCUGGAAUAGAGCAAAGACUCUGAGGCUUGUCAAGAGCAUGGAAAGCUCACCAGACGAGCCAUGUGAGGAAAGGCAGAGAGACACUAAUGUCUGUAUGCAGGUGAGGGAGAUUGGCCCCGCAGCUCCCAGCAGCACAUGGGGCAGAGCCACACUUAAGGCACCUAGAGUUGGAAUGGACUCCAGUUCUGAGAUCCACUGGAAUGGUCAGGAGGUGCCCACCAUAGGGCACCUGGGCCCCCUAUCUAUCUCAGUGGGUAAAUGCAGUGCAGCCAACAUUCUUAACCAUUGAGUCAUCUCUCCAGCCCUUGUGUCAUCACUCUUUAACCCAUGUCAUCCAUCCACUGUGUUUGCAGCCACUGUGUCUUACAAAUCUGACCGCCUGAGAUUUUUUUCAGGAUCCACAAUAUACAAUGGGACUAUGGAGACAAAUUUAGACAGGGCCCCUUUCAAACAUCUAAAGAGUGAAGGAGACAAAGUUAACUCUGAGGUACACAGCAGAGGCUCAAAGGAGGCAAAGAGAAGAAUGAAGAAGUACUAACCAAGUCAAAAACAAUACUAAAGAGCUAAGGGAUGGCUCAGGUUGCCAAAAUAGUGCUCCUACAAGACUUCAAGGCCAAGAGAACAGCUAAAAAGCCCGGGGAAAUUUCUAUUUCUUAUCUCUGAACAGCUAUUUCAUUCUUUUCUGUCUGCAAAGCAAUUCCUAGUCUCCUGGCCGAUCUAUUGUCUGCAUUUGCAUGACAUACACAGUUCAUCAGGACCAGCAUGAUGGUCCUAUAACACAGAGGUGCCAGCCAGAGCACACCCCUUUCAAAAUAGGUAGCCCCAAUCCCAGCAGCCAGUGGGCUGGGUUUCAACACAGAGAAAAAUAAAGUUGCUUCCACGUGUAGGUUUUGAACUGACCUUCGUUGCUUCGCCACUAAGCUCUCUGCCCUGACAGGAAAUCCCAAGCCACUUAAACCCUCGUAUUCCUAGGUCAUUUUUUGUCAACAGGUAUUCCUGGAAAACCUUAGCUCAAAAAUGUUCUCAGUAUCUGCUCUGUUCAGAGGCUACCCCUGCUCCCAGCCUUCUCCCUGGUGUCUGGCUUCAUACGUGGGCAUAUAUAUUUAGUUGCUCAUCCUAUGGAGCCGCUGGCCCAGUCACUCAAGAACUUCUUCCAAGCUCUUCCUAAUUCCUUUUCCCUUCAGCUUGUUUCUAAAGGGCACCGCUACCAUAAACAGUGGUUAUACCUCUGACCUUAGCCAGACCCAAGUUCCAUAGAGAGCAUGCACUGCCAAGGACAUAGAAUAUAGAAACCCUACCCCUGAGAGCUGCAAGGAGUCUGACAAAGCACGUUUCAGAUGCAGGUGGCCCAGACUCUGGAGUUAGGUCCAGGUUUGGAGCUAGGGCAUGGCUUGUUUUCCUAGAAAGCAGAAGCUGAACCUUGCCUCUCAUCUCAAAGUCACACAGAGAGAGGUACCUUUCUAGGACCCGACUUAACGAUAGCAGUGCCUCACAAGUUUUGUAAGUAAACCUGUCACCUUGACUCACAUCUAUCAUCAUAGUAAGCAUUGGUCUUCACUCGACUAAACACUCAAGAGAAGGGGGUGGAUAAAGUGGUAAGAAAAAUAAGAUGUUAUUUCCUAUCCAUUAUAAUUCUGUUUGGAGACUAUCCAAACUGGCAAGUUAUAGGUCUGUUGUCAUUUGCAUGCUCAUAAGUCAGGACCUCUGAGAAGUAAAAAAAGAAAAAGAAAAAAAGAAAAAUAGGCCCUGAUUUCUAGCACUUGUUAAUUCCUCUAGUAUACAUAUUCCCACCAUGGGAACCACUAUGAUAUCACUGAGCAAGGUAUGUGACCAGGGAAAUGUAGAAUGUGUGUCAGUGGUUCUCACAAUCCAGGUAGCCAGCAAUGGUAUGCCCACUCAAUCCCCAGUCCGUUCCUUGGGUUGUUUUUUUUUUUUUAAUCCACAUAACUGAGAUAUAAGUUGAGUAACUUUAUGUGUGGCGGCUAUGCAGCCCUGUGUCGCCUGUCUACAGAGAUUGGUUGCAUACACUGUUGUGUGGCUCCCUUGAUCUGAUGACACGACCUGCCACUUUUCUGGAGUGAGCUAUAUAUUGGUGAGCCUCCUUUCACACCAGUACCUCUCUUCACCUCCUUAAUUUCUACCUCUGGGUCUUGCUGCAAGGUUGGUGCCUCAACCUGGAAUCAAAAGGCACCUAAGCGGGAUAGAGGGAUAUCUCAGCCAUUAAGAGCACUGGCUGCCCUUCUAGAGGAUCAGAGUCCAACUCUCAAUACCCACAUGGCAACUCACAACUAUGAUUCCUGUUCCAGGGGAUUUGACUUCUUCACACAUGCAGGCAAAACACCAAAGAACAUGAAAUAAGAGAUAAAAAGGACAUAAGCUUAGUCCUUUCUCCUUCCUCAACCUUGGAGACUCUGACUAAUUUUGGCACAGGAUGUGAGACAGGUGUCGGGGAAGCACUCUCCUCACUUUCUGGAUCCAUCUCCGUUUUCUCGUCAUUUUCUCCAGUCUCUCUUUGUUUCUUGGGAAAUGCCACAUUUUUAAAAGCCUUCCAUUUAUUCAUAGCCAUUUGCUAUGUUUGAAGCUAUUCUGCUUCCUUGGCCUGAAAGCUACUUGAAAAAGUUUCCAGGCCAAGGGAGAGACAAUUUCAAAGGCCCCAAAGUCAGAAAGGAAUCCAGUAUCUAAGAACUAGAAGGAAAGCCUAAGUGUGAGCAAUACAUGUGAAGGGAAAGUGGCAGGGGGCAACUAAGGAGGCCGAAUCUAGGUCAUUCAGGACAUCUAACUAGGUCAAAGAGAGGUUGAAAGAAAAGGUAUCGAUCGGCUCAGGACCCCCAAGACCAAAUUCUCAGCACAAAGGAGAUUUAUUUGCCCCAGAGGGACAGAGAGCAGGGAAUAAGAAAUGAAGCCUUCAGAUAGAUGGAUGAGGGAGAAGGGGAAGGGAACAAGGAAAAGUGGGCAGGGAUGUUUGUCCAGGAGAGGGACAAAGUACUACCUCUAGAUAGAAUGGAGACAGACAUGACCCAUAGGAAAAUGGUGGUUCAUGAAACUCAAGAAGGAAGACCAAAGUGUGGAUACUUCGCUCCUUCUUAGAAUGGGAAACAAAAUACCCAUGGAAGGAGUUACAAAGACAAAGUUCGGAGUUGAGAUGGAAGGAAGGACCAUCCAGAGACUGCCCCACCUGAGGAUCCAUCCCAUAAACAACCACCAAACCCAGACACUAUUGCAUAUGCCAGCAAGAUUUUGCUGUCAGGACCCUGAUAUAGCUGUCUCUUGUGAGGCCAUGCCAAUGCCUGGCAAAUACAGAAGUGGAUGCUCACAGUCAUCUAUUGGAUGGAACACAGGGCCCCCAAUGAAGGAGGUAGAGAAAAUAACCAAGGAGCUAAAGGGGUCUACAACCCUAUAGGUGGAACAACAAUAUGAACUAAUCAGUACCCCCCGAGCUUGUGUCUCUAGUUGCAUAUAUAGCAGAAGAUGGCCUAGUCAGCCAUCAAUGAGAUUAGUGAUCCUUGGCCUUGCAAAGAUUAUAUGCCCCAGAAUAGGUGAAUGCCAGGGCUAGGAAGCAGGAGUGGGUGGGUUGGGGAGCAGGGUGCCAGGGGGGAGGAGGGGGAAGGAGGGUAUAGGGAACUUUCGGGAUAGCAUUUGAAAUGUAAAUGAAGAAAAUAUCUAAUUUUUAAAAAAAGGGAAAUGGUGGUUUAUAAAGACAAAAGAGGAAACCUUGUUUUAGGAUGAGGUGUUUAAUUUUAAUUGACCAUGUUAAUUAGGGUAGCCAAAGGAGGCUUUCAAUUGCUGGACAAUACUUUGUCAGAUAGACCUUGGCAGCCAGCCUGAGUUGGAGGAGGUGGACAAACAAGGGGCUACUCCUUGGUGGCUAGCUUUAGGAAUGUUGUCUAAUGGUUUUAAGCAAGGCAGAAGGAACGGGGAGAUGGGCAAGGACUGCCAGAGUCAUGCUCGCUCCUCAUGCUCGAGCUUGCCAGAGUCCCUUCAGAGAUGAUGCUUGCUUCAGCCGUAAAAAGCAAACACUGCCACACAAGCAAUGGAGCAACACACUGGCUUUUUUUUUUUUUUUCAAAUAUGUAAGAAACCACAUUGUAGUGGGAGCGGCAAAACUCCUUCAGUUGGGUACCUUCCGAGCGCAAGAUGAUAACCAUCUGAGUUACUAACAAGGAGGCAGUGGAGACAGAAGGACUUGAAAUACAUGCCAGGAGUAAAGGAACAGCAGCCCGUGGAUGCUCAUCUGACUGCCAGGGAACACGAUAAGGAGAAGCAAGGGAGGCAGGAGUCAGGAGCUCCCGUUUCCAGCAUGCCACCCUCCAGCUCUGAGCAGCUGAAGAGAGGGAGAGAAGCUGAAAGAAGGGAGCGUGAGGUUGAAUUGACAUGUUUGACAAUGAGGUGAUCACUAGAUGUCCAGGGGAGAUGUCAAGGAUGUAUUAGGCACAGAAGUCCGGAACCCGGAGGCCCAGGUAAGGAUCCCAUGGGCAGGAUUCCUGCCAAGGGCCUCAUUUAAAUUACAACUUGGAAACAGAUGGGGGAAGCUCAGAGCUAAGCUUUAGGAUUCACUCAGAGAUAAAGGGACAAAAGCAGAGGCUAUCUGGGUGACAAGAAAGAAAAAUGCUCAGGACAAACAGUCCCCAAAGAACAUUACAAAGACAAGUCCCAAGAACUGAUCAAAUGCAGCUGAGUUUAAGGUUUCUCCAGUAGCAGCCACUGGCUCUGACAGCCGAGGAGGUCUAAGAUGGGAGUCACUCACCUAAGCUACUUCUGAUGAUACCUGAAGGACAGGAGGCUGAGGAGUCAAUAGGACUUGAAUUCCUGGUGGGAAUGAUUCAGCAGAGAGCAAGGACUGUGGGCAGACAAAAGAGGGACAGAAGACAGAGACAAGCACCCUGAAAGACAAGGAAAGACUGGCCUUUAAUAGGAGCAAGAGGAAGACAGACAAUGUUAUGGUUUUAUAUGCUCAGCCCAUGGAGUGGCACUAUUACAGGGUGUGUGGCCUUGUCAGAGUAGGUGUAUCACUGUGGGUGUGGGCUUAAGAUCUUCAUCCUAGCUGUCUGGAAGCCAGUAUUCCACUAGCAAACCAGAUGAAGAUAUAGAAGUCUCAGCUCCUCCUGCACCAUGCCUGCCUGAAUGCUGCCAUGCUCUUACCUUGAUGAUAGUAGACUGAUCCUCAGAACCUGUAUACCAGCCCCAAUUAAAUGUAUAGGAGUUGCUUUGGUCACGGUGUCUAUUCAUAGCAGUAAAACCCUAACUUAAGACAACAUAGAUGAAAAUGGACUGGUGUACUUGGUUAAGAGAAAAUGACACCUCUGUUCUUGUUGAUUCUAGUUGCCUGAGGAGAAGCAAAGCAAGUCCUUAGAAUAGGUUCUCUUACAAGGAAGGACAAUCUUGAGAGUAAAAUCUUUAUUUAGCCAUUUCCUCGUGUACUAGUGUGCUUUCUAUUGCUGGGAUAAAAACCAAAAGCAACUUAGAAAAGAAAGGGUCUCUUUCCUCUUACAGUUUCCGUAGUCUAUCACUGAGGAGAGCCAAGACAAAAAGCUCAAGGCAAGAACUGAAGCAGAGACUACAGGGGAACACUAUUGACUGGCCUGCUUUCUUAUACAACUGAGGACCACACCUGCCCAGGGAUAUCAGCUGCCCACAGUGGGGAAUUGAUCACUAAUCAAGAAAAAAAGCACUGAGAAUUUGCCUCCAGGCCAAUGUGAUGAAGGAAUUUUCUCAAAGGAGGUUCCCUUUAUCCAGAGGCUUCUAGCUUAGGUGAGCUUGAAAAGAAAGAAAGAAAGAAAGAAAGAAAGAAAGAAAGAAAGAAAGAAGAGAAGAGAGAAGAGAAGGGGAGAGGGGAGGGGAGGGGAGAGAGGAGAGAGGAGAGGAGAGGAGAGGAGGGGAGGGGAGGGGAGGGGAGAGGAGAGGAGAGGAGAGGAGAGGAGAGGAGAGGAGAAGAGAAGAGAAGAGAAGAGAAGAGAAGAGAAGAGAAGAGAAGAAAGAGAAGACCCAUGCUACCGUCACCCGGAGGGGUCUUGGUCCGCUCCCGUGUCAUUUUUCCUAGGGGAAGGACACUAGGACACUCAACCUUCUUGAAAGAUGACAUAUCUCCCAGGAAGAAGCUCAAAUUAGACCGCAAAGCCAUUCCAGUGCAGUGCUUAGCCUCACAACUCUCCUGGGCUGCUAAAGCACACCCGCUCCGCCCCAUGCAGCAAGACUCGCCUCAGGGGUUUGUGGAGCUGGAUGGCCAGCGACCUUAUUGCUUGAGCAUCGAUAACCAUAUAUCGGGGGAGGCACCAUGCUCCAAAGCAACAAGCGCCUGGGUUACUACCAUCCUGUCCCUCCUUUUUUGGGCUUUAAGAUUGCAGAUCAUCCAUAGUAGGAGCAGUACUCCACCGCACACAGCCACUCCAAACAAACCCACCCCCACCCAUUCCUUGAAGUAGGAGAAUGCUGCAGAAAUCCAGGUAGAAAAUCCUUCCGUCAAUGACAGGUCAAGACGUGUCGAAUUGACUUGUAAGAUGGCGAUCCUCAGCUCCUGGAGUGUCUGUUCAAAUUCUAUGGUCCAAUUCUGUAACAAAUGAGACAAAGCCUUUGACAGGUUAGCUACUCUUGUAAAAUUCUCAAAUUGUACUGAGGUGAUACAGGGGCUAGGCAGCUUAUGUUCGCAACCCAGCUGAGCCAUUUGCCAUAGGAUAUCCACCUGCUCUUGGACCAGAUAGAUCCGUUGGUUUGCCAACAUGAGGCCUCCCUGUAUCUGGGAGUUGGCCGUGGCCUGCCUGUCCAGGGCCGAUGUCACUCUUGCCAAAAGGUCAUUGAUGGUUUGCGUUGUCUGAACCGUAGCAGACAAGGCAAGGGCCGAAGCAGUGACAGAGGCAGCUACUGCUGCUGUUACUACCAAGCCAACUAUAAUAGCAGAGAUUCCAAAAUCUCUCUUUUCUCUAAAUAAGCUUAAACUGCUAGGGGCUUCCACAGGAACUGGAACAAAUCUAGGCAUGUGAGUAACCAAAGCAAAGGGAUAUUUAGUAGCAUCCCAACACAGGGCAUAGAAACAUUCAUUAAGCAAGCAAUCUAACUCUAAUUGAUUACUAUUUAAACUUUUAUUACUUACCACCCACAGAAAGGGGGGCCAAACACAAACCGGGGUGACAGUAUAAUUCACCCUUUUAAAUGCUUUAUAUUUAGUAUUAGAGGAGGACCAAUCGAAGGACCCCGAACCAGCACUCAAAGUGCCCUUCCACUCAAAACCCAUUUGGCCCUUUUCACUAUAUCCACCUCCAAUCAUGGCCAUAGGUGAAAAAUCGGUACAGCUCCCAUUAACCCCACAAAGUAACCAUUGAUCAAAAGGGUUAGCAUCUGCCCGAUCAGGAUUCAUGAAGGUAAAAUCAUGUCCAGCAAAGAUUUCAUUAAUCUCUACACUUAUGUAUGGGGAAAAGGAAAAAUAUCCUUCAACCACCCAAGCGGGUUUUCUGGCCUGGCACCCAGUCCAAGAAAGCAUGGAGUCCUCCGAGGAUCUUCCUUUACAAAAGGGUGCCAUUCUGGGUUGCUGGGGUGGUGCUUUCCUGGAUUUACGACUAGGCGACCAGCCUUAGAUUACAGAUGCCUUGGAUUCCACAAUGCCUUGUCCCUGAGGGUUGUAUGGCAAACCAGUUAAAUGAGUUACAUUCAUCUGGCGACAGAACUGUCUGACAUGGGUGAUAUAAACAGGAGAUCUCCUAUGUAAUAAAACAGCCUGUAUUUUUUGAAAAAUAUCAGUGACUUUACUGGAUGAUUUUAUUACCCCAGCAGCCUCUAGAAGGUUAACUGCAUUGACCACAUAGGAGGAAUCUGACACAAUGUUAAGCAGUCCCGGGAAGGCCUUAAGGACCUCCAAAACCACCAAACAUUCCACAAUCUGAGGUGAAGUUUCAUUAUAUUGUUUAGACACUAUUUUGUCAUUGGUCACAUAAGCGCCUACACCAGUUUUUGACCCAUCUGUAUACACUACGAUUCCUUCCGGAAGCGGGUUUUUUGCUGUCACCUGUGGAAACACUAUGGCCUGAUUCAGGGCAAAUUGUAAAAUUGGAUGUCUAGGAUAAUGAUUGUCAAUUUGUUCUAAAAAGGAGGUGACUAAUACUGCCCAGUCAUCAGAUGUAGCCACAAGGACCUGAACUUGUGUGGCAGUAUAGGGAACAAUUAGCAAUUUAGGAUCUCGUCCAAAAUGAGUGACUGCUGUUUUUAAGCCACGAAGCGCAAGUUGCGCAACAGCGUUAGGAUACCAAUCGAUUACUUUUGCCAGAGAAGCAUUGGGAUGGAUCCAUAAUAAUGGUCCAUCUUGCCACAAUACAGCAGUUGGUAACUGAGCUGUCUUAAAGACACACAAGUCGAAAGGUUGUGAUUCCUCAAUAUGCCGUAACUGGGCAUUUUGUAAGGCAUUCUCUACUACUUGCAAGGCUUUAUUAGCCGUAGGAGUAAGGGCUCUGGGGGAGGAGAUAUGUGAAUCCCCCUCUAAAAUAUCAAAUAAAAGUUUAAGCUCGGCAGAGGAAAUCUUUAAAAAAGGCCUAAGCCAAUUUAUAUCCCCCAAUAACUUUUGAAAAUCAUUAAGAGUAUGUAAAUGAUCUUUGCAAAUUUUCAAUUUUUGAGGAAGUAUCUUAUCUGGGAAAAUAAUGUUUCCCAGAAAGGAACCCACUUCCGAAAUCUGAACCUUUUCUGCAGCUAUCUGCAGUCCCCAUUGGGCUAACAUUUUUAUCAAAAUGUUAGGAUUUUUGUAAAAGCAUCAUAUCUUUAUGGCACAAAAGAAUAUCAUCCAUAUAAUGUAACAACAGUAAAGAGGGAAAAUAUUGUCUCACAGGUUCUAAUGCUGACUGUACAAAAAGCUGGCACAUAGUGGGGCUAUUUGCCAUGCCCUGAGGGAGGACUUUCCACUGAAACCUCUUAUCAGGCUCCAUAUGAUUAAGGGCUGGAAUCGUAAAAGCAAAUCUUGGUCGAUCUUGGUGACACAAAGGGAUGGAAAAGAAAAAGUCUUUAAUGUCUAAAAUGACAAUUUUCCAUUGCUUAGGCAGGGCAGAUAACAGAGGUAAACCCCGCUGGAUUGAGCCGAAAAGGUUCAUUUGUGCAUUAAUUGCUCAAAGGCCAUGAAGUAACCUCCAUUUGCCUGAUUUCUUUUUCAUGGCAAAAAUUGGAGUAUUCCACGGGGACGUGGAAGGUUCCAAAUGUCCGAGCUGCACCUGUUCUGUAACUAACUUGUUGACUGCCUCCAAUUUUUCAGAGGAUAGCGGCCAUUGGAAGACCCACACGGGUUCCUCUGUUAUCCAGGGAAUGGGUCUUGUAACACCAACGACCCCUAGGAAAAACCCAAGCCCCGUCUGCCUGGGUUACCGUUGUGGGAGACAGGCUCAAGUCUACCUUGUUCUUUGCUUCCCAAUCCCUUUCCCUUUUGUGUACUCUGUCUUCUUCAUAAUAUUAGCGGCCUGAACUGAGUAUUCAUUGGUUAAUGUGAUUCCCAUCUCAGAAAGCACAUCUCUGCCCCAUAGGUUAACCAGCAGCGAGAGCACAUAUGGAGUAAACAGGCCCCUCUGUCCUUCUGAGGUUUGCCAUGUCAGGGUGGAUGAACUAAUCGCUGGGCAAGAUUGAUAACCCAGGCCUUGUAAAGAAUGAGAAGAUUUUGUAACAGGCCAGCUCUUGGGCCACCAGUAAGAUGAAAUGAUACUCUUAUCUGCUCCGGUGUCCAUAAUCCCCUCAAAAUCUUUGUUAUUAAUAAAAAGAUGUAGAGUAGGCCUGGCAUUCAAAGGCAUAACUAGAUAGGCUGAAUCGGGGCCAGAAGAACCCAUACCUCUCAAUUCUUUUGUGUUAUCUUUAUCCUUAUCGGGGCUGGGCAAGAAUAUUAAUUGUGCAAUUCUAUCUCCUGGGCUAAUGGAAAAAAAUACCUUGGGGGCAGGAGCAAAGGACUUGAAUGUCUUGCAGGUGUUGGUGGUCCACUACCCCAGGAUGAACCACAAGGCCUUGUAAAGUGAGAGAUCCUCGCCCAAUAAUGAGACCCAUAGUCCGAGGGGGUAAGGGUCUAGGAGACUUAACGGGGAUUGGUUGCACAUUCAUUUGGGGCAUGAGUAAAAAACUGGAGGUGGCACGCAAGUCCACUCCUGUGACUCGUCGGGUGUCAUCUCCUCUGUCCUGCUCUGGCUUUUGACAAAGCGGCUCCCAUAUUUGUGAGGGCCCUGGGAUCGGGGGCCCAGCACCCCGUUUUUUUGACUGUGAGGGAUUAACUUCACCUAUCAGGGGCAGGAGUCUUCCUUUUACAUCUCUGACAGAGCGGCAUUCACUAGCCUUGUGAUAGUCCUUUCCGCAGCGGGAGCAGAGAACAGCUCCUCUUGCGCGUUCAGGUACAGGGCAAUUUCUCUUCAAAUGUCCAGCUUUCCCACAAUUGAAACACGCCUUUUGUUUGUUGACAUUAGGGCGCCUCUGAGAUUGCAAUAUAGCCGCGGCUACUCCCGCAUUGGUGAGAGGGCCUCCUAGCUCCCUACAUAUCUUAAGCCAGUCUUGUAACCCUUUGUUUUUUCUUGGCGUGAUGGCCGCCCUGCACUCUUGGGUGGCUUGCUCAUAAAUGAGCUGUUCAAUUAGAGGUGUGGCUUGCUCGGGGUCGCCAAAGACCCGGGCUGCGGCCUCAGUCAUUCUUGCCACAAAAUCAGAGAAUGGUUCCUGGGGGCCCUGAACAAUCUUUGUAAGGUGACCCCCAGCCUCCCCUUUUCUUGUGCCUUCCAAGCCUUGACCGCAGCUGCACCUAUCUGGGCGUAUGCCCCCCAAGGAUAGUUAAUUUGAUUGGCGGCAUACUGCCCUUGGCCGGUCAACAAUUCAAAGGUCCAUUGUCUCUGGUUGUCAUCAACUGCUGUGGUAUUGGCCCUGGCCUGAUUUUGGGCCGCAUCAUACCAUAGAGCUUUCCAUUCCAUAUAUUGUCCCAUAUUAGGGAGUGUAGCCUUUGCUAUCAUUUGCCAAUCUGACGGGGUCAUGGCCAUAUUGGCGAAUCUCUCGACCUGAACCAGAGUAAAAUUGGCACUGACCCCAUAGUUACGGACAGAUUCAGCAAGUUCUUUAAGUUGUUUAUAAUCCACUGGGGUGUGCAUACGCCCCGCCUCCCCAGUAUCAAAGACUGGAAAUGCCACCUGUAUCUUUUUUAACUCUUCCUGAGGAAAAAAGGAGUUAGCGCUAUACCGCAAUUCAUAAGGCGGUGGCACUGUGAGCACAGUAGCUGGUAUGCUACCCUUUUUAUUACUUCCUGAUCACGACCAUCGGUCAGGGUUAUAUCUUUGUUCUUCAUACUUUGCUGCCUCCUCUAAUUCAGCCUCCUCACUGGGGUCUAGAUCUUCGGACCCUGAACUAUCAAUCUCUAAGGCCUCCAAGUCAUGGAUAGGAUAAAAAUUAGUAUAAGGCUUUUUCUUAGUAGAGGGCUCAGUUUCACUGCCCUUCUUUCUCUCUCCCCUUCCUUCUGAAUCCUGGGGAGGGCCCUUUUUCUUAGACAUGUCUUUCUUUUUUUGAGCUCCCAUUCUCUCGCUCCAUUCGGUUUCUGACAUACUGUCCUGAACCUCUUCUAGUGUUCCCUGUCCCUCCACAAUGGCGGGUCGGCAGGUUUCAUCCUCUAGACAGUUUUUUAUCAGCUUCCAAAUUGCCUUGGUGCCCAGACGUAAGUCUCCCUCUUCAUGCUUACGGUCAAGGUCCCUCCCUAGCUUAUUCCAUGAGGCUACAGUUAGAGACCCCGAACAGGCAUACCAGGGAACAACUCGAUCCACCUCCUUAACAAAGUUCUACAGCGUACAGGAGGCGACCUGCAGGUCGCGUUGCUUUAGCACUGCCUAUAACGCGGUGAUCACUGACUGUGAGGAGCCCAUGAUAGAGUGAGUGCCUGCGGCUGAUCUACGCCUGACUUAUGGUACUCCUUAAGCAAAGUGAAAGUAAACAUGGCACUCUGCUCCCUUAUCUACAGGAAGCUUACAAGAUACCUCGGUGCUGCCGCUUAUCUACGUCAGACUGACCACACCUCAAAUUUCAACACCAGCCUCGAUGAACAGAAUAAGAAACAAUAAGAAACAGAAUGAGGUCCAGGGCAACCAAGACUAGAGCUUCUACCGCCCCUUCCUAGGGUGCAUCUAGAUUAAGACCGAAAUCAAAAGGGAUAAGAGGUUCACGAUCAGACAUACCUCUCCGAACUUACCUUUUCCCUGCAGUUCUGAAUCCACCCCAUCUCCGGGGGUUCUCGAUGCCGGCGAUGUUGAUCCCAGGUUUCCGGCACCAGAUGACCCACGCUACCGUCUCGCCAGCAAGAACGCACGCAGGACAUUCGGAUCCUUCUGCAGUAAAGCUUUAAUGCAUCUCGGGAGAUAGAUGAUCAGCUUCAGGAGAAGAAACCCAGAGAGCAGAAAACCCUUCCCUUAUAUAGACUGCGAAGUACGGUUGGAGACGUGCACCAUCCAGAUUGGCUGCCCACCAUCAGCCCAGAUGACGCCACGGGAGAGGCAGGGCUCAGGUAAUGGAAAGAUACCCUGACGCCUGCGCACACUACUUGUUUUUCAACAUGAGCAACGGAUGUCAGCGCCAUCUUGUAAUGGCUAACUGUGAAGGCGGCUCCUCACAAAGAGAAAAAAAAAAAAACCCUACACUCACUGACCAAAACAACUGUUUCUACUCUUAGACCCAGAUCUGAAAGCUCAUAUGUCACAGAAAAGUUAAUGCCCAAAAGAGAAGAGCCGAAGAGAAAAGGUUUCCUUGGUGGCCAGGGUCAGGAAACAGUCACUCUGCUGAUGUCUGUCAGUGUGGAAAAAAAAAAAAAUACAUGGGAUAAACAAUGUUUCUCUAGGGCCUCUGUUGAUGCAACCACUCCAGACAACCCUUAAGUUGGGUCACACUCUAAUAAAUCGGGGAUUUAAAAGUAGAAAUUGUGUGUGCAAUCUAGGACAGAUUUUUCAGUCAUCAGCUGUAUGUAACUUUUGCUGUCAACAGUGUUGUAUACUGGCACGUGGCCUAUAUGAACCAGGUACACCUGGGAGGCAAGCUGGGGCUGAAAAAGACUUAGAUGGCAAGAGAUUAAUGGAGCCAAGAUGAUUCACUGUUCAAGUGCUUAUAAGGGGGAAAGCCCAUUCCCUUCCCCCAAGUCCACUCUUGGUGCCUGGAGCCAUUCCAUCAGCACUCAGUUGCCAGGCUUCUUGAUGUAUUGUUGCCAAGUUGUUAGCACUUGUCUGCCAGAGCUGUUAGCAGUAAGUCGCCAGUUCCACAGGUAGUCAGCUAUCUCAGGAACAUCUCAGGAAGACAGGUUCAGCCUUUCAGCAGGUAGCAGAAGAGCAGGGCGGUUGUCACUUCAAAAAGGAGUCAGCCAAGUGAGAAAGCUGCACCGCAGGUGGCCCCACCUACCAGCCUGCUUCAGGCUGGGGGAGGCUACACAACAGGUCUGUGCAUUCCUUCCAGCUGGGACACAAGUUUCUGUUGAAAACCUGAAAAGCAGGAUCAAUGGAAGACAGGUUGUACAAGGCAUAGAUGGACCCACAGGCAGUGCUUCUGGGGGCACCAACAGCAGUGGAGCUUGCUAGAGAGAUGCCUCGGACGCUCUACAGUGGGAUAGAGAAGAUGUCUCAAGAUCACUGGAUAUCCAAGUAAGAUUUAAAGCUCUGACCCAUUGAUACAGUCCUGGGUACUCUAUGUGGGAGUGUCUGCAUGAGCGUGGACCCACCUAAAGACGGAUAGAGGAGCAGAGAGUAUCAGUGUCUAAGGCCAUCAGAAAAAUAUUUGUGUUUUCAGAUGGUCUUAGGAACCUGAGAAAGGGAUGGUCAACCUCCAUGGGGGGUCGGGACCCACCGGCUGAGAACCACCACUCUAUGAAGCUGGCCAGAGAUGCCUGUGUUCUUAAUGUUUAGACCCCUGUCCUGCAGCAUGACAAAUGCACCACUUCGCUGUAAUGAAAACAGCUGCAUGUACUUGGCAAAAAGCAUAUUGGAUCCUUCUGACCUCUGCCUUCUGGGCAGAUGCGUGCUGAACAGAAUGCGUAUUCACAUAGCGUCCUGAGGCAUGUGGGUCCAUUUUCAUCUAUAUUGUCUGUCUUCCUCUUGGCAGGCAGCAGGGCCUACAACACUACAGCUUACUAUAAAAGGCUGAUAAACCUGUGACCCACUCUGAUACCUGUAACUCAGGAUACAAUGCAGCUAGAAAAGAACAGUCCUGCUGGAGGUAAAGAGGCACCUGCCAUCACAGGGCUUGGGUCGGGUUGACCGUCUGGCCAGAGGAGCAAGACUCGAUUCUGGAGUGGCUGACGGUCAUGUGGGCCCUUUUGCUGUCUAGACACGAGAUCUGAGUUUUCUAGGGUGUGAGCCUGCUGCCUUCUUAGGCAACAAGCCCUGAAAAUAAGUGAAGUUCUUCAACUCCUGUCUCUGUUCAUUGGCAUUAGUGGUGACAGGCAUUACAAACGCCAGUGUUCUGGUCAUGGGAGACGUUGUCAACAAAACCAGGAUGAAACUAAUAAUGCAGGGCCAGCUGUGUGACCUCCAAAAACAUUGAAUAAGAGAGAGAGAGAGAGAGCUAGCAGAGCUUAUUUAGGUUUUUCCAUCCCAGUAUCACCAUUGGCACCAAAACCAGUUUCUACAUUUAGGAAACCAAAAGGUGCAGCCUACAAAAAGAAAAUAAACACUUAGCAGCUGGACGUGGUAGUGCAGGCCUUUAGUCCCAGCGUUAAGGAUGCAGAGGCAAGCAGAUCUCUGUGAGUUUGAAGCCAGCCUGGUCUACAGAUUGAAUCUAGGACAGCCAGGGCUACACAGAGAAACCCUAUCUAGGGAAAAACAAAAGAGAAGAAAAGAAAAAAAAAAAGAAAUGCUUAGCAGGACAGCUAGCAUCAUAAGCCCCAAACAUUGACCACAGUAUGAAAUAUCGAUGCUCUGAAAGCAAGAAAUGAGGUUAUAAACAUCAGAGGAGAACAGAGUCCACACAAAAAUCCACUAACAAUCAAAAGUUUCAAAUGCAUCAAUAAAAGCUAAGUAGAUGAGGCUGAGGAGAUGACCCAGAGUCUAAGAGAGUGAACCAUUCUUGGAGAACACUCCAAGUUCUGUUUCUAGCACCCACAAUGGGUAGCUUACAACUAUCUAUAGCUCCAGCGCUAGAGAUCAGAUGCCCACAGCAGGCACGCUCACUUGCACUGACCCACACACAGAUCCACAAAUACACACUUAGAUUCUUUAAGGUUGAUUUACUUUUCUGUGUUCAAGUGUUUUGUCUGCAUGUAUAUUUGUAACCUUCCCUCAGCCUGAAACUGGCUGAGCCAGAACUUGACUUUGCUGCCACUAAGGAGAUUAUCUAGGGUGGAGCCUUCCUCCCUAGAUCACUCUAUUGUUCAGCCACUGUCAACUGCUACCUGCUGAGAGCUAUUCCGGAGACUACACCCUAUCUUGCACAUCAUCACCUGCAGCUGGUUCCAAGCUCCAAGGAUGAAUUGGUGGGAAUGGGCCUCCCGCCUUUUUAUAAGCGCAGUCACCAUUAAACAUUUGAACCUUGAACA
This 17803-nucleotide long non-coding RNA is filed under the name Mus musculus (house mouse). RNAcentral describes it as "predicted gene, 50166". The record is from RNAcentral. Lineage: Eukaryota; Metazoa; Chordata; Mammalia; Rodentia; Muridae.